GAUGAACGCUGGCGGCGUGCCUAAUACAUGCAAGUCGAGCGAACAGAUGAGGAGCUUGCUCCUCUGACGUUAGCGGCGGACGGGUGAGUAACACGUGGAUAACCUACCUAUAAGACUGGGAUAACUUCGGGAAACCGGAGCUAAUACCGGAUAAUAUAUUGAACCGCAUGGUUCAAUAGUGAAAGACGGUUUUGCUGUCACUUAUAGAUGGAUCCGCGCCGCAUUAGCUAGUUGGUAAGGUAACGGCUUACUAAGGCAACGAUGCGUAGCCGACCUGAGAGGGUGAUCGGCCACACUGGAACUGAGACACGGUCCAGACUCCUACGGGAGGCAGCGGUAGGGAAUCUUCCGCAAUGGGCGAAAGCUUGACGGAGCAACGCCGCGUGAGUGAUGAAGGUCUUCGGAUCGUAAAACUCUGUUAUUAGGGAAGAACAAAUGUGUAAGUAACUAUGCACGUCUUGACGGUACCUAAUCAGAAAGCCACGGCUAACUACGUG
Molecule: ribosomal RNA, 497 nt
Filed under: uncultured bacterium
Lineage: Bacteria
Description: partial 16S ribosomal RNA
Rfam family: Bacterial small subunit ribosomal RNA
Source: RNAcentral